AGUGAACGCUGGCGGUAGGCCUAACACAUGCCAGUCGAACGGCAGCACAGUAAGAGCUUGCUCUUACGGGUGGCGAGUGGCGGACGGGUGAGGAAUACAUCGGAAUCUACUUUUUCGUGGGGGAUAACGUAGGGAAACUUACGCUAAUACCGCAUACGACCUACGGGUGAAAGCAGGGGAUCUUCGGACCUUGCGCGAUUGAAUGAGCCGAUGUCGGAUUAGCUAGUUGGCGGGGUAAAGGCCCACCAAGGCGACGAUCCGUAGCUGGUCUGAGAGGAUGAUCAGCCACACUGGAACUGAGACACGGUCCAGACUCCUACGGGAGGCAGCAGUGGGGAAUAUUGGACAAUGGGCGCAAGCCUGAUCCAGCCAUACCGCGUGGGUGUAGAAGGCCUUCGGGUUGUAAAGCCCUUUUGUUGGGAAAGAAAAGCAGCAGGUUAAUACCCCGCUGUUCUGACGGUACCCAAAGAAUAAGCACCGGCUAACUUCGUG
This 492-nucleotide ribosomal RNA is filed under the name uncultured bacterium. Its description in RNAcentral is "partial 16S ribosomal RNA". It matches the Rfam family "Bacterial small subunit ribosomal RNA", at positions 29 to 507 of the family's 1533-position model. The record is from RNAcentral.